AUACAUUCUGUUAGCGUGUGUGCAUGGCCAGAUAGUCACCCACGGUACAAGAUAUAAUGCCAAGGAAGUCCAUGAUCAAAAUACAUGAUUACCAUGAAAUCUUCGUGCACCUAAAGGGGAAAGUACAUUGUUGUCUUCUUGCGUGCACUUGGGCUAAACAUUGCACGACACUCGAGGCUGUCAAGUCAAGGAGUUUCACCUCAUUAAACAGGUUCCCCUUCACUGAGAGAUCAAAGCCUGAACAAGUCACGAUAUGAACCAGUGUUUGACAUUUGACAGCCGGUCCCAAAGAUGACAUGCCCCAUACCUUACUGAUCAACUACGCUAAAGCUAUUGAUCACUAGUGGCAUUCUAUUACACCGAUUGGUUUUGGCUUACCUGUAGUGUGCGUGUAUUAGUAUAUGAACUACAUGAUUUCCUUUCGUGUAUGCACCAUUUUAGAUUCUAAAAG
RNAcentral lists this long non-coding RNA (451 nucleotides) under Hordeum vulgare. RNAcentral's name for it is "long non-coding RNA (HVUL_LNC001981)". The record is from RNAcentral. Lineage: Eukaryota; Viridiplantae; Streptophyta; Magnoliopsida; Poales; Poaceae.